ACAGACCUGAGAUGUUUGCGAAGCUUGUUUAUUUCAACCGACAUACUAAUUAAGGGAGCUGGCGUCAAAUAGUGGAUGUUAAGUCUGUUUAGCAGAAAAACUGAAGUUAUUUGCAGGCACCCACCUGCUUAAUGGCGGGAUUUGAAAUAGCAAGCAGCGGCAUGUUGGGUUAUUA
Molecule: non-coding RNA, 175 nt
Filed under: Caloramator mitchellensis
Lineage: Bacteria; Bacillati; Bacillota; Clostridia; Eubacteriales; Clostridiaceae
Description: 6S / SsrS RNA
Rfam family: 6S / SsrS RNA
About the family: E. coli 6S RNA was the first non coding RNA to be sequenced, but its function was unknown until recently.
Source: Rfam by way of RNAcentral